AUUGUACGCUGGCGGCAGGCCUAACACAUGCAAGUCGAACGGUAGCACAGAGAGCUUGCUCUCGGGUGACGAGUGGCGGACGGGUGAGUAACGUCUGGGAAACUGCCCGAUGGAGGGGGAUAACUACUGGAAACGGUAGCUAAUACCGCAUAACGUCGCAAGACCAAAGUGGGGGACCUUCGGGCCUCACACCAUCGGAUGUGCCCAGAUGGGAUUAGCUAGUAGGUGGGGUAAUGGCUCACCUAGGCGACGAUCCCUAGCUGGUCUGAGAGGAUGACCAGCCACACUAGAACUGAGACACGGUCCAGACUCCUACGGGAGGCAGCAGUGGGGAAUAUUGCACAAUGGGCGCAAGCCUGAUGCAGCCAGGCCGCGUGUAUGAAGAAGGCCUUCGGGUUGUAAAGUACUUUCAGCGGGGAGGAAGGCGGUGAAGUUAACAGCUUCACCGAUUGACGUUACCCGCAGAAGAAGCACCGGCUAACUCCGUGCCAGCAGCCGCGGUAA
RNAcentral lists this ribosomal RNA (504 nucleotides) under uncultured bacterium. RNAcentral's name for it is "partial 16S ribosomal RNA". It matches the Rfam family "Bacterial small subunit ribosomal RNA", at positions 29 to 523 of the family's 1533-position model. The record is from RNAcentral.